GUAGGGGCCCUGAGGUAUGGGCUCACAGAAGGGCCGCAGCUCUUCUCCCCUUCUCAUCGCCCGCAGCGCAGUGAGAGGGAGGGUGUGUUUCAGAGGGCUGUGUUUCAGUCUGUUUUUUACAGCUCUUUCACAGUCCUGGGGCCCCGCUCCAGCCCGCAUCUCCUGGACUGGCCUGGCCCGGCCUCUGCUUCCUGUUGUGUGGGGCAGCCACCCACUGCUGGCAGAAGGUGGGAGGGCUAUAGUGUUACAGCUCUGGCUCAGGCAACACCAAGGUCUGGGCCCCCAGAAGAAUCACUACUCUUCACUCCCACAGUCUGUGAGCGUGUCACUGCCCGCAGCUCGGUGGAGACCUAUUCUGUUGGGUUAGAGAUGACAGAAAAUCUUAUUUGUCGGUUGGUUUGUUUGUUCAAGAAUACACUGACCUUCUACAAGAAAGGAGAGCUCUUUGACACCUGGAAAUUUUACAGAAGCUUGGGACAGCUCUGAAUGGCAACACGGUCCUGAGAUAUGUGAUUACCUGGGACUUUCAUUGGACCUGCAUUUCAGCUCUACUCUCCUCACUGCCCUAUGCUGCUUUGACCCUAAAAGUGAAGCCAGCUUGGCCAGGUGCAGUGACUCACACCUGUAAUCCCAGCACUUUGGGAGGCCGAGGUGGGCAAAUCAAGAAGUCAGGAAAUCGAGACCACCCUGGCCAACAUUGUGAAACACCAUCUCUACUAAAACACAAAAAAAUUAGCCAGGUGUGGUGGCACGCACCUGUAGUCCCAGCUACUCGGGAGGCUGAGGCAGGGGAAUCACUUGAACCCGUGAGGAGGAAAUUGCAGCGAGCCAAGAUCGCGCCACUGCACCCCAGCCUGGGCGACAGAGAGAGACUCCAUCUCAAAAACAAAACAAAACAAAACAAAAAAAACAAAAAGUGAAGCCAACUCAAUUGUCUCAUAGAACUGAUCUUUACGGUGUUUUUAAAUAAACAUAGAAAUUGGCCCUCCCAGUCUUAAAACUUCAAAAACUUACAUUUGUCUUACCUCAGUUCCUUUCUCAGGAAUCCAAUCAUCAAGGCUCCCAGAUAGUAUCAAUGAACGGAAACUUACCAGAUCACGAUAUCUGGACAAUGAGAUGUCAGAUCCCCCUCAUCCAUCCUGAUUACCUAACUGACUACCUGCUUCCUGUUGGCCAACUACUCUUCCUUACCCCUCCCUAAUUCUUGUUUUCCCACAAAUGGUUACAUUUCUGUCCUGCUAUAGAAGCCCUUAAUUUUAAUUGGUCGAGGAGAUGGAUUUGAGACUGAUUUUUUGCUCUCCUUGGCUGUUGCACCUGAAUAGCCUUUUUCCCUGGCAAUACUUUUUGUCUCAGUGAUUGGCUUUCUGUGCAGUGAGCAAUGGGACCAAACUUCUGGUGUUUUGGUAACAAAUUUUGGUUUCCUGACUGUGAAUGCAUUGCUUGUGACUCAGCUGCCAUGAGCUGGGAGAGUUUCAAAAGCCCUCUAAGCAGCUACCUGACCAUUUUGGCCAGAGGUGGAUUUUCGUCUCUCCCCAUUUGGGCCCACUUCUGCCAACCCCAACCAUGUUCCUGAUUGCCUAGGAAGAACAGCCUUUGAAAUUUGACGUCUAUGUACAGAAAGGUACAAACUGUUGCCUAAGGAUACAGGGUGUGUGGCUGGUGGCCUCAACAGGCCCCACGGCUCAGGCACUCAGACCCAAGCUGGUCCCUCAGACUAAAUGGUUUUCCUGGGAACUCUGACUCUGGCCACAAGAUCAAGACUGACAAAUUUCCUUUCUCUGUUUAUGGAGGGAGACUUCACAACAUUCACUGAAAGAGGAGCAAAGGACCUGGUUUUUGCCAUGACUGGCUUUGGCCCCGUGAAUGAAUGUUUUUCUGGCAUUGGAAAGCGGAUAGCAAAGAGAGCAGAACCACAAAUGGGCUAUGAGGAAAUGUGUUCAAUGAAGAAAACAAAAUCUCUGACAAGAUCCAACAUAGGACAACAUCUCAGCAUCUUCUGUGAUUUGUGAACCCAAGUAAAGCACUUCUUAGAGUUAUCUGGCACAUUCGCAACUAAUAGCUUUCUGUGAAUAAAUACUGUGGCAACCACGUUAACUGUACAAAAACAAAUUGCUUAUUUCUUAUAUCCAUGCUGGAAGAUUAUCUGGCUGACCUUAUCAGCUGUGAUGUCAGGAAUGUCAGCCAGUUAUCCUGUGGUGCAUUCAGCUGGGUCAUUGUACCCCAUCAGUGAGGCAAUUGCAAAGUUCCAUCUGGACAGAG
Molecule: long non-coding RNA, 2259 nt
Filed under: Homo sapiens (human)
Lineage: Eukaryota; Metazoa; Chordata; Mammalia; Primates; Hominidae
Description: HSALNT0058211
Source: RNAcentral